Molecule: ribosomal RNA, 177 nt
Filed under: Aquibacillus koreensis
Lineage: Bacteria; Bacillati; Bacillota; Bacilli; Caryophanales; Bacillaceae
Description: Virgibacillus koreensis Bacterial large subunit ribosomal RNA
Rfam family: Bacterial large subunit ribosomal RNA
Source: Rfam by way of RNAcentral
AGUUAAGUGAAGAAGGGCGCACGGUGGAUGCCUUGGCACUAGGAGCCGAAGAAGGACGGGACAAACACCGAUAUGUCCUGGGGAGCCGUACGUAGGCAUUGAUCCAGGAAUUUCCGAAUGGGGAAACCCACUGCUCGUAAUGGAGUAGUACAUGUAUCUGAAUACAUAGGAUACAUG